This 385-nucleotide ribosomal RNA is filed under the name Epeorus longimanus. RNAcentral's name for it is "partial 12S ribosomal RNA". The record is from RNAcentral. Lineage: Eukaryota; Metazoa; Arthropoda; Insecta; Ephemeroptera; Heptageniidae.
AACUNCGAUUAGAUACCCUAUUAUUNUNAAAGUUAAAAUAAAGCCAGAGUAGUAAUAGUUAUGUUCUUGAAACUCAAAGAAUUUGGCGGUGUUUUAAUCCGGUCAGAGGAACCUGCCCCGUAAUCGAUAAUCCACGUUUAUUUNACUUGGUCNAGUAUUCAGCUUGUAUACCGCCGUCAGAAGAGUGAUUCGAGAGAAUACCCUCUGAAUUUUUAAUUAAAAAAAAUGUCAGGCCAAGGUGCAGNUUAUGAUUAAGGGGAGGUGGGUUACAAUAAUUUUAAUUNANUGGNGAUUUUUUUGUNAAAGAGGAUUGAAGGUGGAUUNGGAUGUAAUGNANAGAAUUAUAUUUUUAUGAUACCGGCUCUAAAACAAGCACNCCUCGCCC